Long non-coding RNA from Amblyraja radiata (thorny skate), 495 nucleotides. RefSeq lists it as uncharacterized. NCBI's taxonomy places the organism in Eukaryota, Metazoa, Chordata, Chondrichthyes, Rajiformes, Rajidae. The record is from RefSeq and is a predicted model, not a curated record. The transcript has 3 exons.
AUAAUAACCAAAGAAUGAAUCAUAGUCAUACUGACAAAGUAUGCAGCUGACCAGCAAAGCGAAUAUAGGAAGUUGAAUGAGCUUCAUCUUAGGAGUGAGUGUACGAUACUGCUUGACUGGGAGCCUUGUGGUUUCCUAAUUCCAAAAGAAUGAGAGGGGAGAGAGAGAGAGAGACAAAGAGGACAAGAAUCAAAUAAUAAGUGCAGUUCUCUUGGGUCUCUGGAGAAAGAGGAAGCUGCCAGACUUCCGUGCCCCAAUGCUGACAAUAACAGUGAGAGAGGUGGAUACUGCUAGAGAGCUGCUAUGUCAUCAUUUUGGAUUAGUACUGUGGAAUGCUAAAAAAUACCAAAAAUAGAGCCCGCUAAUUAAAUGCAGAUGGAUGGCUGGAGUUACGGUGCAGAUAAGACACAAGGGUUAAGGGUUUUUUUGGUACAAUUUGCGUGUUGGCGUUUCAAUUUUCACAUGUUCCCCAUUUUGAUUCAAUUAUUUUUUUGG